AUGCGUUCAGCUCCCCACCUCCACCUCGCGGUCUGGGCCCUUCUCCUCCUGCACUUCGCAGCCUUCGUCCCGGAAGCCAGAGCACAGCAGGAAAUCGACGAUGAGUCGGAGUUCAGCUACGACAGCAGGUCCGAGAACGGGCCGGAGAACUGGGGCAAGAUCAAGGAGGAGUGGGUGACGUGCGCCACCGGGCGGGUGCAGUCCCCCAUCGACCUCUCUGACCGCCAUGCCGCACAGGCGCCCAACCUCGGGUACCUCCACCACUCCUACCGCCCUGCCGAGGCCUCCAUCGUCAACCGUGGCCACGACAUCACGGUGACAUUCCAGCGCGACGCCGGGAGCUUGUGGAUCAACGGCACUGCUUACCACCUCAGGCAGGUGCACUGGCACUCCCCCAGCGAGCACCACCUAAACGGCCGCCAGUACAGCCUGGAGCUCCACAUGGUUCACCUCAGCGCCGAGAACAAGGCUGCCGUGAUCGGCCGCCUCUAUAAGAUCGGUAGGCGCGACCAUUUCCUGCACGAGCUAGAGCCUUACCUGCGGAGGAUGGCAGGCAUGAAGGAGAAGGAGGAGAAGGUUGGCGUGGUGGAUCCCUGGGAGGCGAGGGGCGAUGGUGAAGCCUACUACCGGUACAUGGGCUCCCUCACCACGCCGGCGUGUGACGAGGGGGUCAUCUGGACCGUCAUCAAGAGGGUUGCUACCGUGUCGACUCACCAAUUGAAGCUUCUCACGGACGCUGUCCACGAUGGCUUUGAGAUGAACGCGAGACCCCUUCAGAAGUUGAAUGGCAGAUAUAUCAGCUUUUUCUGCCCUCAUGAUGACCAUGAACGCUAUUACGCUGCUGCUGAUCAUUAA
RNAcentral lists this ribosomal RNA (855 nucleotides) under Triticum aestivum (bread wheat). RNAcentral describes it as "partial small subunit ribosomal RNA". Lineage: Eukaryota; Viridiplantae; Streptophyta; Magnoliopsida; Poales; Poaceae. The record is from RNAcentral.